GGGGAUGUGGCUCAGUGGUACAGCACUGACCUAGCAUGUGAGAGACCCUGGGUUCGAUCCUCAGCACCACA
This 71-nucleotide transfer RNA is filed under the name Marmota monax (woodchuck). RNAcentral describes it as "tRNA.Ala". It matches the Rfam family "tRNA". From Rfam's summary of the family: Transfer RNA (tRNA) molecules are approximately 80 nucleotides in length. Their secondary structure includes four short double-helical elements and three loops (D, anti-codon, and T loops). The record is from RNAcentral. Lineage: Eukaryota; Metazoa; Chordata; Mammalia; Rodentia; Sciuridae.